Oreochromis aureus is the source of this 1018-nucleotide long non-coding RNA. The record is from Ensembl. Lineage: Eukaryota; Metazoa; Chordata; Actinopteri; Cichliformes; Cichlidae.
GCAAGUAAAAAUGUAUCUAGGAAUAAAGAGUUGGAAGUAUUAUACUAGUAGUAAUAUAUCAUCCACCAUCUUCUGCUUGCAUAUUUCUGAAAACAUCUUAGUGGUGUGGCAGCCCUGCAAACCCUGUUGAUGGAUGAUGCAGUGUACAGUGGGAGGAAGCAUCCUAAAGCUCUCUUUGCAGACCACCCUGUGUGAUUCUUUACUCGUCAACAAAUCCCAGGUCUCAGUUGCAGCACCCCAUCCAGGUCUGAUCUGGCUUUAGAAGAUCCAACAACACUGCCAGAGACUUCCUGUUUCUUCAAACUAUUAAAGUUUUUAAAAAAAAAGGUCCAGGAAUAGGUCACUCAGGUUAAUCCUCUGUGAACAACUGUAAACAUGUCAUGGUUCUGAGGAUUUGGAGAGGGUAUGGUGUGUUUUUGUCUUUGUCUGGACUUUGCUUCCUCACCUCUGAACCUGUUCUCAACGCACACCUGUAGCUCGUUCACACUGAUUCUGCUCUGGCUUUUCAUCACAAGGAUUAUUCCUGGCAGACUACUUAAGAUGGCAGGAGAUGCUGCUUCUUUGCUGGAUUGUCGCACUACCUGGCACCUCUCGGAAUGUCUGCUCGUCUCUCCUGCUGCCUGCAUGCCUGUGGAUGUGUCACGGACUGUGUAAAAGAGGAGCGUGUGUGUGCCUGCCCUGGACCUUCCCUCACCUUCGGACCCCCCCACCCCCUGGAGCCCCAUGUUACCUGUUCCACUGUAUAUAUGUAUCUAUCCUCACCUGGUGCCACAUUGUAAAUAAAUCCUUCACCAUCUCUCUAAAGUCUCUAAAUUAGAGUCCUGCGAACAAAAUUCUCCAGUAUGGAUCGCAAUGAAUUCUGGGAUAGGGUGGGCCACGAAAGAUACACCCAACCCAUCCUUCAAAUCCAGGGAAAUGGAGGAUGCAUUUGUGGGCCGCAUUUGGAGCAGCCUUCAAAUUUGGACAGCCUUCAUCACCUGGCUGUGACUUAAUCAGCCUACAAAUGCGGCUUCCAAAG